AUGCUAUGCAAAAGGAGGAAAAGUUAGCCCUCUCCUUCCUAAGGCUAGGAGAUGACUUCCUGGCCUACAAAAUACACACACGGCUAAGGCAUUGCCAUGUUCUUCAUGAUGUCUCUGCCACCGUUCCUU
Molecule: non-coding RNA, 129 nt
Filed under: Charadrius vociferus (killdeer)
Lineage: Eukaryota; Metazoa; Chordata; Aves; Charadriiformes; Charadriidae
Source: RNAcentral